This 490-nucleotide ribosomal RNA is filed under the name uncultured bacterium. Its description in RNAcentral is "partial 16S ribosomal RNA". It matches the Rfam family "Bacterial small subunit ribosomal RNA", at positions 28 to 507 of the family's 1533-position model. The record is from RNAcentral.
GAUGAACGCUAGCGAUAGGCUUAACACAUGCAAGUCGAGGGGCAGCAUGGUCUUAGCUUGCUAAGACUGAUGGCGACCGGCGCACGGGUGCGUAACGCGUAUGCAACUUGCCUCACAGAGGGGGAUAACCCGUCGAAAGACGGACUAAUACCGCGUACACUCCAUCUUGGGCAUCCAAGGUAGAGGAAAUGAAAUUCGCUGUGAGAUAGGCAUGCGUCCCAUUAGCUAGUUGGUGAGGUAACGGCCCACCAAGGCGACGAUGGGUAGGGGAACUGAGAGGUUGAACCCCCACACUGGUACUGAGACACGGACCAGACUCCUACGGGAGGCAGCAGUGAGGAAUAUUGGUCAAUGGGCGAGAGCCUGAACCAGCCAAGUCGCGUGAAGGAUGACUGUCUUAUGGAUUGUAAACUUCUUUUAUACGGGAAUAACAAGAGUCACGUGUGACUCCCUGCAUGUACCGUAUGAAUAAGCAUCGGCUAACUCCGUG